ACCAGCCUUCCCAGGGUUUUGUGGAGGUCUCCCACCGUGGGUGUUUUUUCCUCUCCUGCCCCAGGUGGCAGAAUGUAGGAAAGGAUAGAAUCUCCUCAGUCGUGCAGACUAGAGCUUGUCCCGGUUUCCAGAGAGAGACCCUUGUUCCUAUCAUUUCUAAGAAGGGUCUGAGUGGUGACUGGAGAGUUAUAGGCCAGUGAAUUCUACUUCUAAACCUGGAAAUCUAGCAUUCUAUAGAAGUUUAAGAUAAAUAGUACUUACAUAAACAGCCUGCCGGAGGGAAGACAGCAUGAUUCCGGAAAAAGGAAAUAUGCCUCAUUAAUCUACUGGAGCUCUUUGAGGGGGUUAAAACAUAUGAAUAGAGGGAAAUCAGUGGGAAUAUAUAUUUACAUUUUCAAAUGGCUUUUUAUAAAGGUUCACGCCAAAGGCUUAAAUAAUGAGUAAUCAUGGAUUGGAAAAGAAUGUUCUGCCAUUGAUAGAAAGCUGGAUAAGAGCUAGAAAACCGAGGAUAAGGAUAAACUACCGCUUUUCAAGAUGGAGAAGGGUUACAGAACUCACUGUACUUUCUCUGCCUCCUGUUACCCCAUCGUUGGAUAGACAUCAAGGAUAGAAAUGUUCAGCCCAAAGGAACAUUGAAGAAAGAGAUGAAGUGAUCGAAGCCCAGAAUGAAUCUGAAUUGCAAAAUAAUAAGCAGUAUUGAAGAUGGCUUUACAAUGUCAUAAAAUCUGCAUAUUUAGUGGAGAACCCAAUUUAAGCUCUUACACUGGGUAGCCCACCAAUUGCCACCAUUUCUCCCUUUCUUAACCUAGUGGAACUUUUAAAUCUUGAAUUGCUUUUCCAGUCUUUCCUUUAACAGCCCCUGAAAUGGUUGAAAGGUGAAGAAUGCAUAUUCCCCUUCAGACUGCAAACUCCUUGAAGAUUUGCAGACAGCCAUAAUUUCCAGCCUUUUGUUUGACAAUGAAGGCCUGCCUGGAAAAAUUGAAGGUGUUGCCAGGUUUACAAAAUGACAUUUUUAUAGCAAACUAUAUUCUUCACUCCAUCUUCCCAUCUUUGGGGGAAGAAACAUCCCUCAGAAGAAGAGAACCCACUUUAGAAAACGGGAGAGCGUGGGUGCUCCAAAGCAGAAGGUGAUAAAUGUUUUCUCAGCUGGGAAGAGCAUGUGAGUGUGUGUGUGUGUUUGUGUGUGUUUAUGCACGUGUGUGUAUACAUGUAUGCAUUUGGGGAUCUGCCUUUCAAGUCUGUGUUCCUCUGUAGAAUAAUUUGAGAAACUCAAAUAAUUUUACAGAGCAUUUUGGAGAAGGCAAUUGAAAGUCAGCCUUCACAGAAAAUAGCUGGAAGACUGUAGGAAACAGCUGAAUUUUGAAUUUUGCUUCAGUUUUUCAAAUUUGCUCUCAUUUCAAAGCAAACCCUGGACCGUAAACCUGUUGGCAGAUGAGUCUAUUAAUCAUCCAUCAAACCUUUAAUAGAUACACAAUCUGUAAUUAUGGAUUGCUGAAGACAUGCUGCUAAUGAGAGACUGACGCAUGCUUGGUGAAAAAUAAUUGCUGUUUGAUUUAGCGAACGCUAAACAACUAAAGGCAGGUAGUUCUUGCCAAAUUAUGCACUAACUUUUGCAAAGCGAUUAAAGAACCAGGAACUUCAAGAGAUCUAAAGGCAACGAUGUUGGAGUGGGGACUGUGGGACAGGGUAAGAGAGGAGAUUCUGAAAAGUAAAAAUGGGUAUUCAGUUUGGUUCAGUCACCCCAUUUUACAUAGGUUAGUCUACGCUUUUUGUAGUUCCUGUUUUCUGAAGUCCCGUGAAAGGGUGUCAGGAGGGGUUGGAAAGUCAGUAGCCCCAGCAGCAGCCUAGCAGCAGGAAUAUGGACAAGUGGAGGGGAAGUCACCAGCCUAGAGAAGCAGUGUGGCUUAGUGGAAA
Molecule: long non-coding RNA, 1914 nt
Organism: Ornithorhynchus anatinus (platypus)
Lineage: Eukaryota; Metazoa; Chordata; Mammalia; Monotremata; Ornithorhynchidae
Exons: 3
Source: RefSeq, a predicted model, not a curated record